CUGGCCUCAAAUCAGGUAGGACUACCCGCUGAACUUAAGCAUAUCAAUAAGCGGAGGAAAAGAAACUAACAAGGACUCCCCUAGUAACUGCGAGUGAAGCGGGAAGAGCUCAAAUUUAAAAUCUGGUGGCUUCGCCGCCCGAGUUGUAAUCUGAAGAAGCGUUUUCCGCGCCGGACCGUGUACAAGUCUCCUGGAACGGAGCUUCAUAGAGGGUGAGAGUCCCGUCCAUGACACGGACUGCCGAUGCUUUGUGAUACGCUCUCAAAGAGUCGAGUUGUUUGGGAAUGCAGCUCAAAAUGGGUGGUAAAUUCCAUCUAAAGCUAAAUAUUGGCGAGAGACCGAUAGCGAACAAGUACCGUGAGGGAAAGAUGAAUAGCACUUUGGAAAGAGAGUUAAACAGUACGUGAAAUUGUUGAAAGGGAAACGCUUGGAGUCAGUCGCGUCGUCCGGGACUCAGCCUUGCUUCUGCUUGGUGUACUUCCUGGUUGACGGGCCAACAUCGAUUUGGGUCGACGGAGAAAGGGGGCGGGAAUGUGGCACCCUUCGGGGUGUGUUAUAGCCCGCCUUCCGCAUACGUUGGCCUGGAUCGAGGACCGCAGCGCGCCUUCAUGGCCGGGGACUUGUCCCACGUAACGCGCUAGGA
RNAcentral lists this ribosomal RNA (643 nucleotides) under uncultured Corticiaceae. RNAcentral's name for it is "eukaryotic LSU rRNA". It matches the Rfam family "Eukaryotic large subunit ribosomal RNA", at positions 1 to 605 of the family's 3401-position model. The record is from RNAcentral. Lineage: Eukaryota; Fungi; Basidiomycota; Agaricomycetes; Corticiales; Corticiaceae.